This 65-nucleotide transfer RNA is filed under the name Eudicella smithii. RNAcentral describes it as "tRNA-Glu". Lineage: Eukaryota; Metazoa; Arthropoda; Insecta; Coleoptera; Scarabaeidae. The record is from RNAcentral.
UAUUUAUAUAGUUUAAUAAAAACAUUACACUUUCAUUGUAAAAUUAGAAUCUUUUCUUAUAAAUA